CAAAUAAAUCUCUUUUAAAAGAACUUUAGUGAAUAGGUCUCAUUAGCAGUACACACAUGCAUAGUGAGAGUAGUACCAGCAGGAUUCUGAGUCCCCGGACCGAAGCACCUUGAGGGUCUGGGAAACUGUGUUGCCUUGGGACAGUACUGGAGCACGUGGACCAGGGGGCGGGAACAGUCCCCUCUGCGGUUUUCUAUUGGAGAAGACGAAAAGAGAUUGCAUGCCAAUUGGUUGGGAGAGGUAGCGGCUGGGGAGAGGCGAGGCCGCUGCAGGAUCAAGACUCUGCUCUUCUCUGUCGCCAAGGCUGGCAGAAACUGGUGCUCGGCCUCGUCUUCCUGGUCUUUCCAGGUCGGGCUGACGGCGCUGCUGCCCAACCUGCUGGUGUUCAGAAAGGCCUGGGGCCCAGGGCCCGAGCUCACCCACAGUGCAGGGUGUCCUGUUUGGCGUCCAUGUGACUGGGAAUGUGCUCCUGGCACUCUGGACAGUGGAACUGAACCAGCUAAGUGACAUCAUUAUCCUAGUGGUGAAAUGCAGCCUGGAAAUACAGGAGAAGUUUGGAGUCUGCCAUACCAGGGAAGACCAGGAUCUUCAGAUAAUGAUAGGUAGCAACUUCCAUCUGGAAGAGCUAUCCAAAGUACCCAAAUCUUUCCUAUAGAAGAAUAGUGGUGGAGUGGAUUGGGAAAAUAAACAUCAAGGUUUUUUGGACA
RNAcentral lists this long non-coding RNA (707 nucleotides) under Monodelphis domestica (gray short-tailed opossum). Its description in RNAcentral is "lncRNA (ENSMODG00000043368.1)". The record is from RNAcentral. Lineage: Eukaryota; Metazoa; Chordata; Mammalia; Didelphimorphia; Didelphidae.